UCGUACAGUAUGUAUCUUAACCUUUUUUUUUGUUUUGUUUCGUCUUUUGAGGCUAGCUGAUCCAAGAAAGUGUAAUCUGAAUAUGGUUGCUUGCAGGUUCUUGAACAAUGUUUGCAACAAUCUGACAGCCUUCUCCUUGGGAUGCUUUGGAAGCGGAAGUAGCAAUGGUAAUGAUAUGCCAGGAAGCAGCAGUAGCAAUGGUAAUGAUAUGCCAGGAAGCAGUAGUAGCAAUGAUAAUGAUAUGCAACACACAGCAGACCAGAUCGUAUGAGUAGGUAACUAAAACUGUUGGAUUGCAUUGCAUUUUGGUGCUGUACAAGCCAAGUUAGAAGCUUUGACUGGGUACAUUUGUUAGUUCAAGAAUUGGAAAGUACAAUCAAACAAACCAAUAUUUCUAUAUGCCUGAUUGUGUACCAGAUAAGCACAUUAGCAUACUAGCAGCUGUGUCUACUGUUGAUUUUCAUUUGUGAUGUCUGCAAUCCAUCUUGCUUCUUAUUUGAUUCUAGUCUAGCCAGUCCUCCAUGUACCCUUAGUUAAAAGGAACACUUGUUAGAUCAUUCCCAUUAUGCUAUUUAUAAGUUUUUUGCUUUCUUUGGUGUGGAUGUUUCAUUUCGUUGCAAACGUAAUCCUUGCAGUCUUUGUAUACUCUAUUUGAAAUAUGAAGAUCAAUGUGAGAGUCAUAACUGUGUGGUUGCAGGCGUCAAAUGUCGAGAUUCGGAGACCAGCCAUGAAGGUUGUAGAGGACGAUGGAGACAACUGGGAACUUCCAGCAGGAGGAAUAACCUUAUUGAGUUGUUCUUCUCUUUUGCCGGUUUAUGCAUAUUCCUGCUUCUUUCUGAACUUAGAGAUUGCUAUCUUUACCAGGAGACUCCUGUUGCAAUCUGACCCAUCCAACUUUUAUAUUAGGAAUGGAGGCUACUUUCUAUCUCCAGAACUUAAGAUUUUUGCUUCUACUACUUCUGAGUUACCCUUUUGGUUUCUGUUUUGAGUUACCCUUUUGGAGGCUACUUUCUAUCUUCAGAACUUAAGAUUUAUGUUUCUACUCCUUCCGAGUUACCAUUUUGGAGGCUACUUUCUAUCUCCAGAACUUAAGAUUUAUGUUUCUACUCCUUCUGAGUUACCCUUUUGGUUUCUGUUUGUGCCUACCAUGGCAAAAGUACAGUAUCUAAAACAGGGGAUCUUAUCUUAUCAGAUGUCAAUUGUCAACAACCUCCAUAUAAUAUUAUGUGCCUAAGUGCCUUCCUUCCACUAGUUCGCAGCUUCUGCAAUGUUUUACGUAGCUUCAUAGCAGUGCUGGAUUGAAGGAACAAGUCUCGAGAUUCUUCUGCAAUCAUUCAUAAUCAAUGUUAGUUACUAAUCAAAGGUUACAUAAUUCAUACAUACAGUAGAAUUCACUCCUCUUUGCUCUGUUGUUUUUCCCGUUUUGUUAGCAGUUCAUUCCACUUCUUUUUAG
This 1453-nucleotide long non-coding RNA is filed under the name Linum usitatissimum (flax). RNAcentral's name for it is "long non-coding RNA (LUSI_LNC002301)". Lineage: Eukaryota; Viridiplantae; Streptophyta; Magnoliopsida; Malpighiales; Linaceae. The record is from RNAcentral.